This is a long non-coding RNA of Micropterus dolomieu (smallmouth bass), 987 nucleotides long. RefSeq lists it as uncharacterized. Lineage: Eukaryota; Metazoa; Chordata; Actinopteri; Centrarchiformes; Centrarchidae. The record is from RefSeq and is a predicted model, not a curated record. The transcript is spliced from 5 exons.
UGGGAUUUGUCAGCUCCAGAUGGCCAGACCGCUACUGCAUAGGGCACAAUACUACUGCGACCUAAUCAGACCUAAUAGUGCUGUGGACACAUGUGGCAUCCAUUUUUCACUAGCGAUUUAAGCAGCUAACUUUUCAAGCUAUAAAUAAAAGCUUUACAUUUAGUCAUAUUUGUCAAAAUAAGCAACUUUAAAACAUACCAACUACAUGAAUGGACGACAGAGAAGUGGAUUAUGCUGCAUGUAAGUUGCAUUUUAGUUUUGAGAAUUGCUAGUGGCGGACUUCCUUCCUUUAAUAUCUGUCAAAGGCCCCAGCAGCCCUCAGGCAGCCAGUAGCCAAUAUGAAUGGAGACCAAUACAGGGGCAUGGUCUGAAAUAGUCCACCGUGUAUUACAGCCCGGAGAGAGGUUUGCUUAAGCCGACUCAGGGUCACUUCAAUUUAGCUUUUUGGCCCCGGGCAUCUGCGAGCUGCACUGCUAAGGUGACGCUGUUAAGGUGGUAGCCCAUGUCUUACCAUGAACAUUUAGCCAACCUGCAGCUGAGAAGCACAUUGUCUUCCUCAGCCGACAAAGAAGUCAUCAGUUCACUUCAAUGAAGAAAAGGCCUUUCUGCUCGAACAAGGCCAUCAAUGUCUCCCUCUCUUUCUUUCACUUUAACACGGAUAUGGUUCUCUGGCUCCCAAUCAAAUGCUCACUUCAUUAGCCCUCUUCUCUUCACUCAUUGGCCCUUGGAAAAGAAGGGCAGAGACACACAGAGGCGGUCAGACUGGCACAAACGCACUCACACACCCAUCGUCCAUUCAACCCCCAAAUACACACACACACACACACUCACUCACAGGCAAGCACACAGAGCAGUUCUGACUUUAAAUAAUGAGAGAGCUGUCACAUCACAUCAGUGUCUGUGCCGCGGCAUGGCUUGGUGGUCAGCAGGACGGACGGGAGUAACUGCUGCCGGCUGACACCCUCUGGACACAUAGGGAAGGAUGAG